UACAGAGGUGCCAAGCGUUGUUCGGAUUUAUUGGGCGUAAAGGGUGCGUAGGCGGUUGUGCAAGUCGGAUGUGAAAUCCCGGAGCCUAACUCCGGAACGGCAUUCGAAACUGCACGGCUAGAGGUCUGGAGAGGUGACUGGAAUUCUCGGUGUAGCAGUGAAAUGCGUAGAUAUCGAGAGGAACACCAGAGGCGAAAGCGAGUCACUGGACAGAACCUGACGCUGAGGCACGAAAGCCAGGGGAGCAAACGGG
RNAcentral lists this ribosomal RNA (253 nucleotides) under uncultured bacterium. RNAcentral's name for it is "partial 16S ribosomal RNA". It matches the Rfam family "Bacterial small subunit ribosomal RNA", at positions 524 to 776 of the family's 1533-position model. The record is from RNAcentral.